UAGGGAAUCUUCGGCAAUGGACGAAAGUCUGACCGAGCAACGCCGCGUGAGUGAAGAAGGUUUUCGGAUCGUAAAACUCUGUUGUUAGAGAAGAACAAGGACGUUAGUAACUGAACGUCCCCUGACGGUAUCUAACCAGAAAGCCACGGCUAACUACGUGCCAGCAGCCGCGGCAAUACGUAGGUGGCAAGCGUUGUCCGGAUUUAUUGGGCGUAAAGCGAGCGCAGGCGGUUUCUUAAGUCUGGUGUGAAAGCCCCCGGCUCAACCGGGGAGGGUCAUUGGAAACUGGGAGACUUGAGUGCAGAAGAGGAGAAUGGAAUUCCAUGUGUAGCGGUGAAAAGCGUAGAUAUAUGGAGGAACACCAGUGGCGAAGGCGGCUCUCUGGUCUGUAACUGACGCUGAGGCUCAAAAGCGUGGGGAGCAAACAGG
This 429-nucleotide ribosomal RNA is filed under the name Gemmatimonadota bacterium. RNAcentral's name for it is "Gemmatimonadetes bacterium partial 16S ribosomal RNA". It matches the Rfam family "Bacterial small subunit ribosomal RNA", at positions 355 to 776 of the family's 1533-position model. The record is from RNAcentral. Lineage: Bacteria; Pseudomonadati; Gemmatimonadota.